This 440-nucleotide ribosomal RNA is filed under the name uncultured bacterium. RNAcentral's name for it is "partial 16S ribosomal RNA". It matches the Rfam family "Bacterial small subunit ribosomal RNA", at positions 338 to 795 of the family's 1533-position model. The record is from RNAcentral.
CCUACGGGUGGCAGCAGUGGGGGAUAUUGCACAAUGGGGGGAACCCUGAUGCAGCGACGCCGCGUGGGUGAAGGAGCGUUUCGGCGCGUAAAGCCCUAUCGGCAGGGAAGAAGAUGACGGUACCUGACCAAGAAGCCCCGGCUAACUACGUGCCAGCAGCCGCGGUAAUACGUAGGGGGCAAGCGUUAUCCGGAUUUACUGGGUGUAAAGGGGGCGCAGACGGCAAUGCAAGCCAGGAGUGAAAUCCCGGGGCUUAACCCCGGAACUGCUUUGGAAACUGUGCGGCUGGAGUGCAGGAGGGGUAAGCGGAAUUCCUAGUGUAGCGGUGAAAUGCGUAGAUAUUAGGAGGAACACCGGUGGCGAAGGCGGCUUACUGGACUGUAACUGACGUUGAGGCUCGAAAGCGUGGGGAGCAAACAGGAUUAGAUACCCCAGUAGUC